GGAAGCGUGGCAGAGCGGCCGAAUGCACUCGCCUUGAAAGCGAGAGCCCUUAACCGGGUCGGGGGUUCGAAUCCCUCCGCUUCCG
This 85-nucleotide transfer RNA is filed under the name Pseudonocardia sp. Its description in RNAcentral is "tRNA-Ser". It matches the Rfam family "tRNA". Rfam says of the family: Transfer RNA (tRNA) molecules are approximately 80 nucleotides in length. The record is from RNAcentral. RNAcentral also lists the same sequence under 2 other names. Lineage: Bacteria; Bacillati; Actinomycetota; Actinomycetes; Pseudonocardiales; Pseudonocardiaceae.